Megalobrama amblycephala (Wuchang bream) is the source of this 1250-nucleotide long non-coding RNA. RefSeq lists it as uncharacterized. The transcript has 3 exons. NCBI's taxonomy places the organism in Eukaryota, Metazoa, Chordata, Actinopteri, Cypriniformes, Xenocyprididae. The record is from RefSeq and is a predicted model, not a curated record.
UGCGUCAUUGGUCGUGUACGCUGACCCUCGCGUACGCGUAUAAAGUGAAGUACUUCUUUGGGCUUUAGCCGUUAAAGAAUUAAUCGUCGACCCUCACCUGCAAUGUCAGCGAGCAUGUGCCACUCCCAGAGACCCGUGCCGUCAGUUUACUUCUUAUUCCGAAGGGAGCCCUUGCUUUUCGUUGGCAUGAGAGCUAAAAGUGGUGAGCUCAGGGGAAGAAAUAUCUCAAGGUCACUGAAUUAUAGACGAGGAGAGAUGAGAGAGUGUGAAUGUGAUGGCAGUUGCAGGGCUCUCUGGUGUGAAGAGUGUUGUUUCUCUGAGAUCCUUGUGAACUUGAAUGUCACACAUGAGGAUAGAAGGCAGAACCUUGGCAGGAAACGACACCGCAAACACAUGGAAAUCUCGAGGGGCUGAGAGACAUAGAGGCAGCAGAACAUGUGCACGCAGCUCACGCAGUUCCAAGCUGAUGUUUUCUCACAUUGGCCUUUCAUGCAUCAUCACUUCCCCCUCCGCUCCUCAUGACUCCAGUCCUGUCCGAUUCCAUCUCUGUUUCAGUGCGCGGCGUCCAGCUUCAUCCCGCCACUGACCUGUUCAAGCGUGACAGUAAAGGAGAAAUCAUAUAUUUGCACACUCUCACAUGAGACUGCCUGGCUGAUCUCAUGACAGUCUAGGAUCCUGUGACUUUGGUGUAGGAGAGCUGUGCCUGAGCCAGGCGGGAAUGAUGUGAUACACUACUCUAAUGAUGCCUCGGGCCGAGGAAUAAUCACCUGAGAAUUAUACAUGCCUCUGUGAUCAGUGACAGGACUGUUUCUGCUGCAUUUCCUGUGUUUGGGCACUGAUUGGAUAAGGGGCUUGACAGCACAUACACACACCCCUAACAUUUUAUCCCCAUCCCAUGUGAUGCAAUGAAGUGUGCAAACCUUACUGGAGGCUGUCAUCCUAAAUGAGAUGCUCAUAGCUUGGAAAAGUAAACUGUAAGAUGAUAAAUGAGGCUUGUUGCAUUAGUGGUUACAUUUCAUGUUCUUUUUUUCUGUUUGUACAUGGUUUGUUUUGUGAAAAACUCUGACAGACAGCACUUCUUAUGUGUGGCUAUUCUAAUAACUGUCACUUUGUUGCAGUGUACACACAAAAAGUUGUCAAAAUAGCUAAAAUAUUUUAAUUUAUUUAUUUUAUUAUCAAUUUUGGGUUACACCAGGAUCUUUAUAGUUAACUAAAACUAAACACAUUUUUGUUACUUAAUUAAAAUAAAU